Oncorhynchus tshawytscha (Chinook salmon) is the source of this 1397-nucleotide long non-coding RNA. Lineage: Eukaryota; Metazoa; Chordata; Actinopteri; Salmoniformes; Salmonidae. The record is from Ensembl.
CCUUAAAUGAUUUAUGCUAUUAACACGAAACCAACUUCCAGAUGUGCAGAAUACUCCAACAUAGAUUGUUGAGGAAUUUUUUUUAUAGCAUUUAUUAUUUUUAACUGAAAAUGAUACAUGGACUUGAAUGGUAAAAAAAAAAAUCUUAAUUUGACACUUGUCUCCUCUUACACCACUUAAGCUAUCAAUGCCAAACCAACGUCGAGAUGUUCAAACUGACCCAACAUAAAUUGAUUGGAUUUCAAAUUUGGAUCAUUUAUACUUUUUGAACUAUAACUGUUUUAAAUGUUAAUAAAAGCUCCAUAGCCUUUUUUACAUUUUAAACUAUAUGCAUUUAACAUUUACAUAAAUAACAUGGGUUCGAAUUAGAACCACAGUAAUAGUGGUGACUAUUUAAAAUGGUCUUCCUCCCAGGCCAUUUAAGCUAUAAGACCAACUGUAAACCAUUCAGGGCAUCCUAAACUUCAAAUGAUUUCAGAUCUUUAUCAAUUAUAACUAUAUAAAUGUGCAUAAAUUAGGAUAAAAUAAAUCACCAACAGUAACUCUUAAACUGUUCAAAUUAGAGACACCAAACCAACUUUCACAUGUUCAGGCUAUCCUAAUAUCCAAUUCAAUAAUGUUAAAACAUGUAUUAUAACUAUUCACAGUUGCAUAUAUUUGCAUAAAAUAACUCAACAACAGUGACUCUUGAACCGUUCAAGCUAGAGACAUCAAACUAACUUCCUCAUGUUCAGGCUAUCCUAAAUGUAAAUUCUUUAAAACUUGAAUGAACUAUAAUUCCAUGUACUGUAUGUGCAUAAAUUAGCAUAAAAUAACUCACCAACAGUAACUUUUGAAUCAUUCACACUACAGACACCAGGCAACUUUCACAUGUUCAGGCUAUCUUUACUUCAAAUUCUUAAAUAUUUUUUACAACGUUAGCUGUAUACAUUUCCAUACAUUGGCAUAAAAUAACCUACCAACAGUCACUCUUGAUCCGUUCAAGCUGGAGACACCAAACCAACUUUUACAUGUUCAGCCUAUCCUAUCCUACCAAUCAAUCGAUCAUUCACAAGCUAGCAUGCACACCACAUUUUCUUCAGGAUAUGUACUUCUCUAGUUAUUGUUGUAUUUUCACACAAGCAUCAGAUUAGACUCAGAUUAGUAAAAACAGAGUAGCCAAAGUUUAUACAUUUUAUAUAAAAUACUUUUAGCUGUGAAAAAUACAAGAGCGACAUUUCACUUCCACCAUUUUUGGUUGAAUUGUAAACAACUCGUCUUGUCCUAGUAACAUAUUGUUAUAUAUAUACACAGGUGGUAUGUCAACUUUAAUAUUGCAGAUAGACUGUGGCUUCUAUGAGCUAUGAAUGUAAUUGUCUGCAUCAUUUCCAAUCCCCCAUAUAUUUUUUGGAAAAAAA